RNAcentral lists this ribosomal RNA (253 nucleotides) under uncultured bacterium. Its description in RNAcentral is "partial 16S ribosomal RNA". It matches the Rfam family "Bacterial small subunit ribosomal RNA", at positions 524 to 776 of the family's 1533-position model. The record is from RNAcentral.
UACGAAGGGGGCUAGCGUUGCUCGGAAUCACUGGGCGUAAAGGGUGCGUAGGCGGGUCUUUAAGUCAGGGGUGAAAUCCUGGAGCUCAACUCCAGAACUGCCUUUGAUACUGGCGAUCUCGAGUUCGGGAGAGGUGAGUGGAACUGCGAGUGUAGAGGUGAAAUUCGUAGAUAUUCGCAAGAACACCAGUGGCGAAGGCGGCUCACUGGCCCGAUACUGACGCUGAGGCACGAAAGCGUGGGGAGCAAACAGG